RNAcentral lists this long non-coding RNA (1006 nucleotides) under Ficedula albicollis (Collared flycatcher). RNAcentral describes it as "lncRNA (ENSFALG00000023803.1)". Lineage: Eukaryota; Metazoa; Chordata; Aves; Passeriformes; Muscicapidae. The record is from RNAcentral.
CCCCCCCCCCCCCCCCCCCCCCCCCCCCCCCCCCCCCCCCCCCCCCCCCCCCCCCCCCCCCCCCCCCCCCCCCCCCCCCCCCCCCCCCUGCCCGGUGCCGCCCCCCUCGGCUCCAGGCCCGGGCACUCCCCUCCUCCAAAUCCUCCUCCUCCAAAUCCUCCUCCUCCUCCUCUGCCGCCUUCCCCACGUGCCACGCGCAGUCCUGGGAUCCACAACUCCAGGAACCCAUAAAUUCAGGAAAUUGUGGAUCCACAAAUCCAGGAAUCCAGAAAUUCAGGAAACCCUGGAUCCACAAAUCCAGGAAUCCAGAAAUUCAGGAAACCCUGGAUCCAUAAAUCCAGGAAUUCAUGGAUCCACAAAACCAGGAAUCUCUCGAUCCUCAAAUCCAUGGACGCCCAAAUCCAGGAAUCUGUGGAUCAACAAAUCCAGGAGUUUGUGCAUCCACAAAUCCAGAGAUCCGCGGAUCCAGGAAUCCACAAAUUCAGGAAUUCAUGGAUCCUCAAAUCCACAAAUCCAGGAAUUCAUGGAUUCACAAAUCCCCAAAUCCAGGAAUCUGUGGAGUCACAAAUCCAGGAAUCUGUGGAUCCACAAAUCCAGGAAUUCAUGGAUUCACAAAUCCUCAAAUCCAGGAAUUCAUGCAUCCAUCCACAAAUCCAGGAAUCCCACAUCCAGGAAUUUGUGGAUCCAGGAAUCCACGGAUCUCCAAAUCCAGGAAUCCAUAAAUUCAGGAAUUCAUGGAUGCCUGGAUGUGUGGAUCCACAGAUUCCUGGAUGGGAAAUUCCCUGGAUUGGGAAAUUCAGGAAUUUGUGGAUCCACAAAUCCAGGAAUCCGUGGAUCCAGGAAUCCAUGGAUCCCACAGUGUGGGUUUUUUGGGACGUUUUGGGAUGAAGAGAGGAUUUUUUGGGAAAAGGAAGAGGAAAAGUUAAUUUGUGUCCGGGUUUGGCAGUUCCGGUUUUUCCCCCCCCCCCCCCCCCCCCCCCCCCCCCCCCCCCCCCCCCCCCCCCCC